GAUGAACGCUGGCUACAGGCUUAACACAUGCAAGUCGAGGGGAAACGGCAUUGAGUGCUUGCACUGAAUGGACGUCGACCGGCGCACGGGUGAGUAACGCGUAUCCAACCUUCCCGUUACUGCGGGAUAACCUGCCGAAAGGCAGACUAAUACCGCAUGUUCUUCGAUGACGGCAUCAGAUUCGAAGCAAAGAUCCGUCGGUAACGGAGGGGGAUGCGUCUGAUUAGCUAGUUGGCGGGGCGACGGCCCACCAAGGCGACGAUCAGUAGGGGUUCUGAGAGGAAGGUCCCCCACAUUGGAACUGAGACACGGUCCAAACUCCUACGGGAGGCAGCAGUGAGGAAUAUUGGUCAAUGGGCGGAAGCCUGAACCAGCCAAGUAGCGUGCAGGAGGACGGCCCUACGGGCUGUAAACUGCUUUUAUGCGGGGAUAAAGUGAGGGACGCGUCCCUUUUUGCAGGUACCGCAAAUAAGGACGGGA
This 480-nucleotide ribosomal RNA is filed under the name Prevotella denticola. RNAcentral describes it as "bacterial SSU rRNA". It matches the Rfam family "Bacterial small subunit ribosomal RNA", at positions 28 to 497 of the family's 1533-position model. Lineage: Bacteria; Pseudomonadati; Bacteroidota; Bacteroidia; Bacteroidales; Prevotellaceae. The record is from RNAcentral.